RNAcentral lists this ribosomal RNA (1530 nucleotides) under Triticum aestivum (bread wheat). RNAcentral's name for it is "partial small subunit ribosomal RNA". Lineage: Eukaryota; Viridiplantae; Streptophyta; Magnoliopsida; Poales; Poaceae. The record is from RNAcentral.
AUGGCCGAUAUCUUGUACCAAUCCCUCCUAAUCUCGGCCGUCGCCGUGGUGCUACUCCACAUCCUUAGGCUCUCUCUGCAGCCCAAGGUGAGGAACCCGCCAGGUCCAUGGAAGCUGCGGGUCAUCGGCAGCAUGCACCACCUCGUGAAUGUGCUCCCGCACCGUGCCCUCAGGGCUCUCGCCAGCAUACACGGCCCACUCAUGAUGCUCCAGCUCGGGGAGACCCCUCUCGUCGUCGUGUCGUCAAGGGAGAUGGCCCGCGAGGUGCUCAGGACGCACGACGCCAACUUCGCCACCCGCCCCAGGCUCCUCACCGAAUACAAUUACAAUGUUUAACACUCUGACAUCGUCUUUUCGCCAUCUGGCACGUACUGGCGCAAGCUCCGGCAGCUCUGCGCCGCCGAAAUACUGAGCCCGAGUCGUGUUCGUUCUAUCCACCAUAUUAGGGAGCAAGAGACGAGGAGUCACGUGGAAAACAUUCAUGCGGCCGGGCCAUCAACGCAGGUGGACGUCACCAUGACUUUCUUCGAACUAACGAGUAGUAUCGUCUCCCGCGCAUCCUUCGGGAACAAGCACAGAAACGUCCAGGAGUUCCUGUCGGCGAUAAAGUCCGGGGGCGCACUGGCCGGCGGUUUCAAAAUCCCCGAUCUCUUCCCAACAUGGCGGUCCGUGCUCGCUAUGGUGACCGACAUGCGCCGCACCCUGGAGGAUGUGCACAGGACGUUGGACUCCACCCUGGAGGAGGUCAUACAAGAGAGGCAAGGUGUUCGAGACAGGGUUGGAUCCAGUUCAUGGGCCUCGGCCGUCGAGGAGAACCUGGUCGACGUUCUCAUGGGACUGCAAGAGAAAGGUGGCAUCGGUUUCCACCUAAAUAGAAACAACAUAAAGGGUGUCAUACUUGACUUGUUCGUGGCUGGAACUGGCACAUUGACGUCAUCACUAGAUUGGGGCAUGUCUGAGUUGGUGCGGAACCCAAGGGUGAUGGACAAGCUACAGUGCAAGAUUCGGGAGGCGUUCCGUGGCAAGGCGGCCAUUAGUGAGGGUGACAUCGAGGCAAGGGACCUCCCCCAUUUGAAGCUUGUGGUCAAGGAGAACAUCCGGCUGCACCCGUCAGUGCCACUCCUGGUGCCCCGGGAGAGCGUGGACCCUUGUCAGGUCAACGGAUACAUGAUUCCCGCCGGUUCGCGCGUCGUUGUAAAUGUGUGGGCUAUUGGGAGAGAUCCAAGGUAUUGGGAGGAUGUCGAGGAAUUCAAGCCCGAGCGGUUUGAGGACAGCUCCCUCGAUUUCAUGGGGAGCAACUAUGAGUUUCUACCAUUCGGGUCCGGCCGGAGGAUGUGCCCCGGCAUUUCCUACGGGCUCGCCGUCUUGCAAAUGGCCUUCGUUCAGCUCUGCUACCACUUCAACUGGUCCCUGCCUGAGGGCAUCUCCGAGGUUGACAUGACAGAGGGGGGUGGCCUCGGUCUGCGCCGCAAGUCGCCACUGCGGCUCUGUGCCACGCCAUUCAUCCCUGAGUCAAUGUCUGCAGUAUAA